GCCUUAAGGAACAUCAUGUUCCACUCCCUGCCAUGAGCAAGGACACUUUCCACCAGCCCAGGUUGCUCCAAGCCCUGUCCAGCCUGGCCUUGGACACUGCCAG
Molecule: long non-coding RNA, 103 nt
Organism: Corvus hawaiiensis (hawaiian crow)
Lineage: Eukaryota; Metazoa; Chordata; Aves; Passeriformes; Corvidae
Exons: 3
Source: RefSeq, a predicted model, not a curated record